GCCUGUGUGGUGUAGUGGUUUGGAUGUUGGACUGUGGCUCAGGAGACCAGGGUUUAAUUCCCUGCUCAGGCA
Molecule: non-coding RNA, 72 nt
Organism: Phrynosoma platyrhinos (Desert horned lizard)
Lineage: Eukaryota; Metazoa; Chordata; Lepidosauria; Squamata; Phrynosomatidae
Source: the annotation of a GenBank genome assembly